RNAcentral lists this ribosomal RNA (465 nucleotides) under uncultured Treponema sp. RNAcentral's name for it is "bacterial SSU rRNA". It matches the Rfam family "Bacterial small subunit ribosomal RNA", at positions 338 to 795 of the family's 1533-position model. Lineage: Bacteria; Pseudomonadati; Spirochaetota; Spirochaetia; Treponematales; Treponemataceae. The record is from RNAcentral.
CCUACGGGAGGCAGCAGCUAAGAAUAUUCCGCAAUGGACGGAAGUCUGACGGAGCGACGCCGCGUGGAUGAAGAAGGCUGCAAAGUUGUAAAAUCCUUUUGUUGAUGAAGAAUAAGGGGAAGAGGGAAUGCUUCUCUGAUGACGGUAAUCAGCGAAUAAGCCCCGGCUAAUUACGUGCCAGCAGCCGCGGUAACACGUAAGGGGCGAGCGUUGUUCGGAAUUAUUGGGCGUAAAGGGCAUGUAGGCGGCUAUGUAAGCCUGAUGUGAAAUCCUGGGGCUUAACCCUAGAAUAGCAUUGGGUACUGUGUAGCUUGAAUUACGGAAGGGAAACUGGAAUUCCAAGUGUAGGGGUGGAAUCUGUAGAUAUUUGGAAGAACACCGGUGGCGAAGGCGGGUUUCUGGCCGAUAAUUGACGCUGAGAUGCGAAAGUGUGGGGAUCGAACAGGAUUAGAUACCCUAGUAGUC